This 202-nucleotide long non-coding RNA is filed under the name Mytilus galloprovincialis (Mediterranean mussel). The record is from RNAcentral. Lineage: Eukaryota; Metazoa; Mollusca; Bivalvia; Mytilida; Mytilidae.
GCAGGGUUUCCCCUGGGUCAAUUAUUUUUUUCGCCACCUCUUUCGCCAAAACAAUAUAUUUUUCGCCACUUUAUUAUUUCUUUAAGUUUUAAAUCGGAGAUUUUUCUUGCUUUUGAAAAUUUUUCGUCACAACAACAGCUUUCUUUUCUAAACUAUCUUUAAAAGGAGAGGAGACGUUUGCUUCAAACACGUGCGUCGCAAA